GACCUAGAAUCGGGGGCUGGGGCGAAGGAAGAGGCGGCUAGAGAACGAAUGAACCAAGGAACGAAGGAACAAACUAACAAAUCAAUAAAUACGUGAAUGAGAGAGGAAACAAAGAGGCCAGCUUCCCACCUUGCAUAACCUUUGGACUGCUGAGGUCUCUCAGUGACCAUAUCUUAUCUCUCUUACAACACUCACUCUAUGUGUGCACAGCCUGGUUAGACAUUCAGCUCACUUGGGCCGAAGGGGUGGUCAUAGGUCUGAUUCCCUGCAUUAUCUUUUUGCUUCUCAGAUCUUUCAGGGGCCAGUUUCUUCUGUUUUCGUCUUUUCUUUUUGUCCGUCCGUCUGUCUGUCUGUCUCUCUCUUUCUCUCUUCGCUCUUCUCUUCCGUCUCCUCUCUCCUCCCACAUCUCUAGCUCACGCAGUCACUCUGUGGCCACACACCAGGGCGAGCCUGUCGCUGACUGAGCACUGGCAAACUGGCUUAGCUGUCUGUAGGUGUGGCCCUUCUGGCCGGCGAGCGAGAGCUCUGCAAUUCCAUACCCACCCCACACUCUACGUCCCAUCCCUUCUUGUUCUUUUUUGACUCUCUCUCUCAUUUUCUUCAAUGAGCCUCCGUGUCUCUCUGUCUCUGUAUCUUUUUCUGCGUCUUGCUGUAUCUCUGUGCCUCUCCGUCUCCCAACAUAUCUGUCUUCCUCUGUCUCCUUGGUGCCCUUGCUCAGGUGCCUAAGCCCCCCACAGUCGGGUCCCUCACUUUACUGGCCAGCACCGGCUCCCUCCCUGCCUCCCUCUAUCUCCAGAAACUGAAAGGACGCCGUUCGGUCUCAGUGCCGUGGCUAAGCACCCACCCCACGCUCAGGUCACUCACUCACUCUAGGCAGGCAUCGGGCUCUCUCCCUCUCUCUCUCUCUUCUCGACCCGCAGAAACCUGGCACCGCUCGCUCUGCUUGGCCCUUCACCGACCGGCCUUGGGGCUCGGCGGCCUGCCUGUGCACUCCAUAGAGGAAUCUCGAGGCUAGCGAGCAAGCCAGCAAGCCUGUGCAUUCUAGGAGUUCUGGUAUGUUGAUCUGCAGGCCGGAUCAAGUGGCGCUCAGCAUGGGAGCUCCUGGCACGGAGGAGUUAAUGAGGGAGCCGUUCGAGAGACAGCCGGCUUAAACUGAAAGUGAAAGCAAAUUGAACCAGAGACCUCGCCCGAGGAGUGAGCAAACUGAAUCAAGGAUUAAAGCUUAAAGCAACAGGACAUUAAAUUAAGUACCAAGACCUGCGCAGACAACUACCCAACAUCCUACCCGAGUCACGGUGACACAUCUCCCUGGAGCCUUAUGCUGCUUAGUCAGCCUUCUUGAGCCACACCACACCCAUGGUGGAUUUCGAUCCCUGCCAAACAGACUACAAUUGCUGACAGCCAUGCACAGAACCCCAUGACUGUGGAAGAGGCUCUUCUCGGUCUGGAGGAACAUACACCAGCCAAAUAGACUGCAUCCAAUGUUAUGCAAGGCAUGCUCCAAGACAUAGGAGAAUGACUUCAUACAGAGACACCAACAAAUGGCUGUCAACCCCUUCUCCUUGAUUGGGGGGGGAGUUUUUUCCUUACCUAGUGCCCCUUUUGGGUCCCCUAGCUGCCCUAUUGUUUCUCAUUUCUGUGAGUCCUUGUAUUUUUCAGAGGAUUAUGAUGUUCAUUAAUAACAGGAUAGACGCAUUUAUGGCAAAGCCCAUUCAGGUACACUAUCAUCAGCUGGAGAUGGCAGAUCAACAAACCUACUGGGAAGGAAUUCCCACAGUGGCCCAUAUGAUGAUGCGGCCUAACUGCUCUGGAGCAAUGGACAGGCAGUCAGAGACGGGCAACUAGGACAUGCAUGUUAAUUCCAACGGCCACCUAAGACAGGCACAGGACCAACUGCUGUUCUACAAGCCCAUGAUGGGUAAGGCCUGGUUGGGUUCACGCAAUGAGGUCCUUGACCUAAGACAGACGCUGUCCUCACAGGGCCUGCCAUACUCUUAAUUAAAUAAUAUAAAAAGGGAGGAGAUGUAGGGAGCCGAGUGACAGGCAUUGCUGCCUCCAUGCCUCUCUCUAUGGGCACUGCGUCUGCCUACAUUAACCAUAAUCCUCUCCUGCUUACAUCACGUAUCUGGAUGUGACGGUGACCCUGUUGUAUUCAUCUGUUUAACCUCUUCCUGUCCCAGCUCCCGCCCUUAGCCUAUAAAAGGUGUGAUCAUUUUCUGAAUAAACCGGAGGCUUGAUUGGA
This is a long non-coding RNA of Cavia porcellus (domestic guinea pig), 2242 nucleotides long. RefSeq lists it as uncharacterized. NCBI's taxonomy places the organism in Eukaryota, Metazoa, Chordata, Mammalia, Rodentia, Caviidae. The transcript has 3 exons. The record is from RefSeq and is a predicted model, not a curated record.